UUGUCAUUUUCCAUGUCUGUAGUCUGUGUUGGUGAAACGAAUCUUCCAUGUGAUUUACAUUAUCUUGGCUUUGGCAAUUUUUAAAUUAAUUACAGUUGUAUAUAUGUGUAUUUGUGAUUUUCUUGCGUCCAGGGUUUGUCAGAAACAACAUCGCUCUCGCCAGACCCCACUUGUGGAACUAUACCGGGAAUGUUGUUUUAUCUAUGUGUGUAUGUUGGUGUUGUACUUUUAUAAAGCUACACUAUAUUGAGUGCUUGAUUAUGGCGUUUCUUCAACAUCAAUUUGAAGUUUGUGGAACGUGAUUAAAUGGGGCUAAAAGGUAGACAACAAACACUUUGGGUUAGCUAUGGAUCAUAUACAGUCGAGGGAAAGUGAUUUCGAGGUAGAUUUAGAGAGUGGGGGAACAACUAGUGAUGAAGAUGGCAGUUAUAACUAUGAUCUGACUGGUGAAAUUUCUAAUAGAGAGUCGUAUAAAGCGGGUAGUGAGUUUCGUGGAGUUCAAUCGUGCAAUGGAUCUGUAAGGAACCAAGAUGGUUCAAGUACAUAUAACAAAAGUUUAAGUGCUGAUGAGCUAUCAUCUGUUAGGCGCACAGAAAUUUGGUCAAACAAAGUGAAGGAAGAGAUGGAAAAUUUGGGGGACAAAAAAAUGAAUAUCGACAAGACAAGGAAGCCAAAGCCUGCUAAACCACCUAGACCCCCAAAGGGUCCAGCACUGGACGCCUCUGAUGCAAAGUUCGUCAAGGAAAUAUCUGAUCUUGCUAUAUGGAAGCGUAGAAGGACCGAAAGAAUAAAGGCACUGAAGAAAAUUAAAAAGGAGAGCGGAUCAUCUUCGAGGAUGAAUAUAUUAGCAACGGUGAUCACAAUUCUGUUCUUCUUGAUUAUUAUAUUUCAAGGUGUUUUGGGCUCUCGUGUAUGACACCAGUGUGUAUGUCGCCUUUAAAUUCAGUGGAAUUUUACCAUGCAACAACCAACUGCUUAACUAUUAAAGUGCCUUUACGAAAGUCUUGCUGGUAGAUUUUAAGUGUAACUCACAAGUGUGCUAUCUUAUCCUCGAAUCUUCCCCCGGCCCAAGAAAAAGACAGCAGGGUGAAAUGAUUCGAGGGGAAACAAUGAUAUCAGCACAAGAGGAGCAGGUCUGAUGAUUGACUAACUGCCCACUUCUUGCAGAUCCAAGGAUUGUGGGUUUGGAGUUAACGGGGGAACUGACUCAGACAAGUUUUGAAUCUUUUGGCUAAUAGUCUCUGCUUAUUGCAUAGAAAUGUAAUGAUUACUAUGGAUUUUGCUAAGGGUUCCUGAUAUUUGUAGGUGCUCUUAAGUAGCUAGAAAAAGAUACCCUGAUUACAUGCGCCUGGGAGCCAGACAUGGCUUUGGUAAUGUACAGGGGCCAUUGCGAAACGACACAACUACCGUAUCUUAAUUUGAGAUGUGCACCUUCCUAAUGUUUUGGUUAUGUUAGCCCUUCAUUUAUGCAUAGCACCUUCGUCUAUGUGAUUCGACUGAGGUCAGAUAUUAUCAAACCCAAA
Molecule: RNA transcript, 1523 nt
Organism: Solanum pennellii
Lineage: Eukaryota; Viridiplantae; Streptophyta; Magnoliopsida; Solanales; Solanaceae
Exons: 5
Source: RefSeq, a predicted model, not a curated record